This 581-nucleotide ribosomal RNA is filed under the name Trichoderma hirsutum. RNAcentral's name for it is "eukaryotic LSU rRNA". The stretch from base 204 to 357 matches the Rfam family "5.8S ribosomal RNA". The record is from RNAcentral. Lineage: Eukaryota; Fungi; Ascomycota; Sordariomycetes; Hypocreales; Hypocreaceae.
CCGAGUUUACAACUCCCAAACCCAAUGUGAACGUUACCAAACUGUUGCCUCGGCGGGAUCUUCUGCCCCGGGUGCGUCGCAGCCCCGGACCAAGGCGCCCGCCGGAGGACCAACCUAAAACUCUUAUUGUAUACCCCCUCGCGGGUUUUUUUAUAAUCUGAGCCUUCUCGGCGCCUCUCGUAGGCGUUUCGAAAAUGAAUCAAAACUUUCAACAACGGAUCUCUUGGUUCUGGCAUCGAUGAAGAACGCAGCGAAAUGCGAUAAGUAAUGUGAAUUGCAGAAUUCAGUGAAUCAUCGAAUCUUUGAACGCACAUUGCGCCCGCCAGUAUUCUGGCGGGCAUGCCUGUCCGAGCGUCAUUUCAACCCUCGAACCCCUCCGGGGGGUCGGCGUUGGGGAUCGGCCUCCCUCACCGGGGGCCGUCUCCGAAAUACAGUGGCGGUCUCGCCGCAGCCUCUCCUGCGCAGUAGUUUGCACACUCGCAUCGGGAGCGCGGCGCGUCCACAGCCGUUAAACACCCCAAAUUUCUGAAAUGUUGACCUCGGAUCAGGUAGGAAUACCCGCUGAACUUAAGCAUAUCUAA